Molecule: ribosomal RNA, 330 nt
Filed under: uncultured eukaryote
Lineage: Eukaryota
Description: partial 18S ribosomal RNA
Rfam family: Eukaryotic small subunit ribosomal RNA
Source: RNAcentral
CCCUUAGAUGUUCUGGGCCGCACGCGCGCUACACUGAUGCAUUCAACGAGUCUAAAACCUGCUCUGAUAGGGGUGGGUAAUCUUUUGAAUGUGCAUCGUGAUUGGGAUAGAUGAUUGCAAUUUUUCAUCUUCAACGAGGAAUGCCUAGUAAACGCAAGUCAUCAGCUUGCAUUGAUUACGUCCCUGCCCUUUGUACACACCGCCCGUCGCUACUACUGAUUGGACGUUUAAGCAAGAUUUUUAAACACUGACAGUGUGUAGUUCACGCUAUACUACAGUGAGAAGAAGAAGAUCGAGCUUACUUGUCUAGAGGAAGUAAAAGUCGUAACA